GACGAACGCUGGCGGCGUGCUUAACACAUGCAAGUCGUACGGUAAGGCCCUUUCGGGGGUACACGAGUGGCGAACGGGUGAGUAACACGUGAGUAACCUGCCCACAACUUUGGGAUAACGCUAGGAAACUGGUGCUAAUACUGGAUAUGUGCUCCUGCUGCAUGGUGGGGGUUGGAAAGCUCCGGCGGUUGUGGAUGGACUCGCGGCCUAUCAGCUUGUUGGUGGGGUAGUGGCCUACCAAGGCGGCGACGGGUAGCCGGCCUGAGAGGGUGACCGGCCACAUUGGGACUGAGAUACGGCCCAGACUCCUACGGGAGGCAGCAGUGGGGAAUAUUGCACAAUGGGCGCAAGCCUGAUGCAGCAACGCCGCGUGCGGGAUGACGGCCUUCGGGUUGUAAACCGCGUUCAGCAGGGACGAAGCUUUUUGUGACGGUACCUGCAGAAGAAGCACCGGCUAACUACGUG
This 465-nucleotide ribosomal RNA is filed under the name uncultured bacterium. Its description in RNAcentral is "partial 16S ribosomal RNA". It matches the Rfam family "Bacterial small subunit ribosomal RNA", at positions 28 to 507 of the family's 1533-position model. The record is from RNAcentral.